UGUCAACAUCCGUUUUUAAACUUGUCAAGGUGUUUUCUUCACGAUCUCCAUGGAAAAUAUUCACGCUUUCACUUUUUGCUCAGAUAAUAGAACAUUGUAAAUCUCUAACUGAAAAUACGGACCAAAAUGAAUCAAAUUCGAAAGCACGUAUGAUCACGUUUCAUGCCGAUUGCAAGUUCUCGAAAAGGGGGGUACAAUGUAAUUUUCAAUGCCCCAUAAAUUGCAAAAUAUAGGCUACUGAGCACCACGAAUUUUGAUGAACGUCUCGGUUAACUCAAAAGUGGACCCCAUAGAGCGGAAUUUAGGUGGGGGCCAGAAGCUCCCCUUUUUCUUGGAAAAAAAAUUGGUUUUGCUAUAUAUGGGAACAACUGUAAGCGUGAACUGCGAGCCACUUCCUUUAGGUCAGUCAGUGGCCCCCAACCUAAAUGAAAAAUUUCUGGACACUCCCCACUCCAAGACCCACUUAAUCUGUUGGUAUUGUUUAGUAUACCAGUGUACUAAUAUUCAUUUGGAAAAAAAAUAUUUGUGUCCCUGAUUUCAUAUAUAUAUGUCAUGUACAUAUGUACACCAAAAUGUAAAAUUCAUAAAAAUUAAAUCUUUCAUAAACAUAAAAUACAAAAGGAAAGCGAUUACAGGCACAGGCUCCUCUUUCCCAUACACAAAAAAAAUAGAUAGCCAUGCAUCCUCUAAAUUCAUAUCUCAUAUUUUAAAAGAAAUUUACACAUUGAAAUUAACUACUGAAUCACCCACCCAUUUCAGAGCUUAUACAUGUACAUGUAUCUCAUGACCAGGAAUUAUUACAAAUUUGAUAUGCCUGUACAGAUUCUUUAUAUCCAUUAUGUUAUAUUAUUCCUAUAGGCUAUAGUCAUAUAUAUUUAUACAACUAAUCAUGCUAAUUAUCAUGCUACUUAGAAAUGAUAAUCCAUUGACAAUAUUAAUUUCUUUCAAAAAAAGUACUUCAACUUGAUUGAUAUCAUAAUAUUAUCAAAAUAAUGGUGUUAUGACAGUGGUGGUUCAUGGAUUCAAAUUAAAACAAGGUUGUGAGUGCCCUGAAAAUGUAAAAAAAAAUCAGCUUGCAUAUAUUUAUGUACACUGUACACUAUUAUAAUACAUGUUUUCUUUGCCUGUAACUUUUAUGUAUUGAGCAGAAAUUUAUAAUAAUAGAUAUAUAUAAAAUUGCAAAUGGAAAUGGGUUAUGUGUCAAAGAAACAGCAACCAAACAAAGAGCAGACAACAGUCUACAGCCACCAAUGGGUCUUCUUUGCUUUAUAUUUACAGGAUGGAGAAAGAUGUUCACUAUGAAUCAAAAAUUCAAAACAGAGAACUUUUAUAUAUCAACAAAAACAAUUGCAGUACAUGCACAUAUACAUGUUUAAAAGGUAUGAUAUACAUACAGCAAGAAAACAGUAAUCAAAUGGAAUGUCAAAUUAUUUUGUUUAAAAUAGAAAACAAGAUGACUAGAAUAUAUUAACAUGAUUAGGGUAAGAAAUCCAAAUGUGUCUGUUCAGGGUAACACCAGUGGGUUAUUUUACAAUGCGCUAUGAUUUCAAUCUCACAAAUAUGAAACAAAACAUGAUAGACAAAUAUGAAUUAACACUAUUUUGAUAAUGAAAUAGACUGAAAAUAUUUUACAUUUAACAGUCAGACAAGAAAAUUGCCAAUGGAAUAAAUUUGGAAUGGAAGUUAAAAUUUAUAGUUUAUAGGUCCAAGAAUCAUACACAGACUUUUAAGACCAAAUGAUGGUAUACUUUUAAUAGUUUAAAAGAUUUUAUGCUACAUGUAUUAUCUAAGCUGUAUAAUUUCAAGAUUAGUUUCAUUUGGAUUUAAAAAACCUAAUUUUCCACAAGAAAUGAGGGUUAGUAAUUUAAAAUUUCAUUAAUAAAGAUUUAAAAACAAUAUAAUGGAAUUAACUCUUAAAGCAUGAUGUGCAUCAUAAUAAUAUCCAUGAGAAUGUCAGAAGGUGUUUAAAUAAACUUGAACAUUUUUUUCAGAAUACAUGUAAGAGAAUGACUUAAGCAGACCAUAUUUUUGGGUCAAUGAUGCCCAUAACAAUGAAAUAACAAUAUAUUAAAAUUAUCAUUUAUCAUUUAUCAUUACUUUUCAAUUGAAUCAACACCUUAAAUUGAAUAACAAUUUUUUUUUUUUUCAAUUUUCAGUACACUGUCAGCAUGGUCAGAAGAAGAAUUUUACUGAGGAUUAAAAUUUUUGAU
This 2210-nucleotide long non-coding RNA is filed under the name Mytilus galloprovincialis (Mediterranean mussel). Lineage: Eukaryota; Metazoa; Mollusca; Bivalvia; Mytilida; Mytilidae. The record is from RNAcentral.